RNAcentral lists this ribosomal RNA (830 nucleotides) under Carineta diardi. RNAcentral's name for it is "SSU rRNA". It matches the Rfam family "Eukaryotic small subunit ribosomal RNA", at positions 952 to 1784 of the family's 1831-position model. Lineage: Eukaryota; Metazoa; Arthropoda; Insecta; Hemiptera; Cicadidae. The record is from RNAcentral.
CAUUUGCCAAGUAUGUUCCCGUUAAUCAAGAACGAAAGUUAGAGGUUCGAAGGCGAUCAGAUACCGCCCUAGUUCUAACCAUAAACGAUGCCAGCCAGCGAUCCGCCGAAGUUCCUCCGAUGACUCGGCGGGCAGCUUCCGGGAAACCAAAGCUUUUGGGUUCCGGGGGAAGUAUGGUUGCAAAGCUGAAACUUAAAGGAAUUGACGGAAGGGCACCACCAGGAGUGGAGCCUGCGGCUUAAUUUGACUCAACACGGGAAACCUCACCAGGCCCGGACACCGGAAGGAUUGACAGAUUGAGAGCUCUUUCUUGAUUCGGUGGGUGGUGGUGCAUGGCCGUUCUUAGUUGGUGGAGCGAUUUGUCUGGUUAAUUCCGGUAACGAACGAGACUCUAGCCUGCUAAAUAGACGAUUUCCGGUAUCCACAAUAGUGCUACCGGCGAAAUCAAUAUCUUCUUAGAGGGACAGGCGGCUUUCAGCCGCACGAAACUGAGCAAUAACAGGUCUGUGAUGCCCUUAGAUGUCCUGGGCCGCACGCGCGCUACACUGAAGGAAUCAGCGUGUAUACCCUGGCCGAAAGGCUCGGGCAACCCGUUGAACCUCCUUCGUGCUAGGGAUUGGGGCUUGCAAUUGUUCCCCAUGAACGAGGAAUUCCCAGUAAGCGCGAGUCAUAAGCUCGCGUUGAUUACGUCCCUGCCCUUUGUACACACCGCCCGUCGCUACUACCGAUUGAAUGAUUUAGUGAGGUCUUCGGACUGGUGCGCGGCGGCCGCCUGCGCGGCCACCGAUGCCACCGGGAAGAUGACCGAACUUGAUCAUUUAGAGGAAGUA